GACGAACGCUGGCGGCGUGCCUAAUACAUGCAAGUCGAACGAACUCUGGUAUUGAUUGGUGCUUGCAUCAUGAUUUACAUUUGAGUGAGUGGCGAACUGGUGAGUAACACGUGGGAAACCUGCCCAGAAGCGGGGGAUAACACCUGGAAACAGAUGCUAAUACCGCAUAACAACUUGGACCGCAUGGUCCGAGUUUGAAAGAUGGCUUCGGCUAUCACUUUUGGAUGGUCCCGCGGCGUAUUAGCUAGAUGGUGGGGUAACGGCUCACCAUGGCAAUGAUACGUAGCCGACCUGAGAGGGUAAUCGGCCACAUUGGGACUGAGACACGGCCCAAACUCCUACGGGAGGCAGCAGUAGGGAAUCUUCCACAAUGGACGAAAGUCUGAUGGAGCAACGCCGCGUGAGUGAAGAAGGGUUUCGGCUCGUAAAACUCUGUUGUUAAAGAAGAACAUAUCUGAGAGUAACUGUUCAGGUAUUGACGGUAUUUAACCAGAAAGCCACGGCUAACUACGUGCCAGCAGCCGCGGUAAUACGUAGGUGGCAAGCGUUGUCCGGAUUUAUUGGGCGUAAAGCGAGCGCAGGCGGUUUUUUAAGUCUGAUGUGAAAGCCUUCGGCUCAACCGAAGAAGUGCAUCGGAAACUGGGAAACUUGAGUGCAGAAGAGGACAGUGGAACUCCCAUGUGUAGCGGUGAAAUGCGUAGAUAUAUGGAAGAACACCAGUGGCGAAGGCGGCUGUCUGGUCUGUAACUGACGCUGAGGCUCGAAAGUAUGGGUAGCAAACAGGAUUAGAUACCCUGGUAGUCCAUACCGUAAACGAUGAAUGCUAAGUGUUGGAGGGUUUCCGCCCUUCAGUGCUGCAGCUAACGCAUUAAGCAUUCCGCCUGGGGAGUACGGCCGCAAGGCUGAAACUCAAAGGAAUUGACGGGGGCCCGCACAAGCGGUGGAGCAUGUGGUUUAAUUCGAAGCUACGCGAAGAACCUUACCAGGUCUUGACAUACUAUGCAAAUCUAAGAGAUUAGACGUUCCCUUCGGGGACAUGGAUACAGGUGGUGCAUGGUUGUCGUCAGCUCGUGUCGUGAGAUGUUGGGUUAAGUCCCGCAACGAGCGCAACCCUUAUUAUCAGUUGCCAGCAUUAAGUUGGGCACUCUGGUGAGACUGCCGGUGACAAACCGGAGGAAGGUGGGGAUGACGUCAAAUCAUCAUGCCCCUUAUGACCUGGGCUACACACGUGCUACAAUGGAUGGUACAACGAGUUGCGAACUCGCGAGAGUAAGCUAAUCUCUUAAAGCCAUUCUCAGUUCGGAUUGUAGGCUGCAACUCGCCUACAUGAAGUCGGAAUCGCUAGUAAUCGCGGAUCAGCAUGCCGCGGUGAAUACGUUCCCGGGCCUUGUACACACCGCCCGUCACACCAUGAGAGUUUGUAACGCCCAAAGUCGGUGGGGUAACCUUUUAGGAACCAGCCGCCUAAGGUGGGACAGAUGAUUAGGGUGAAG
This 1493-nucleotide ribosomal RNA is filed under the name Lactiplantibacillus plantarum. Its description in RNAcentral is "bacterial SSU rRNA". It matches the Rfam family "Bacterial small subunit ribosomal RNA". Lineage: Bacteria; Bacillati; Bacillota; Bacilli; Lactobacillales; Lactobacillaceae. The record is from RNAcentral.